AUCCAGAUGACGAGUCCUAAAUGGAGCGAAACGCGCAUCUUGUAU
RNAcentral lists this non-coding RNA (45 nucleotides) under Schistosoma margrebowiei. Lineage: Eukaryota; Metazoa; Platyhelminthes; Trematoda; Strigeidida; Schistosomatidae. The record is from RNAcentral.